This 605-nucleotide ribosomal RNA is filed under the name Blastocystis sp. RNAcentral describes it as "SSU rRNA". It matches the Rfam family "Eukaryotic small subunit ribosomal RNA", at positions 10 to 630 of the family's 1831-position model. Lineage: Eukaryota; Bigyra; Opalinata; Blastocystidae. The record is from RNAcentral.
GAUCCUGCCAGUAGUCAUACGCUCGUCUCAAAGAUUAAGCCAUGCAUGUGUAAGUAUAAAUAAUUCUACUUUGAAACUGCGAAUGGCUCAUUAUAUCAGUUAUAGUUUAUUAGAAAAAAUGUACUACUUGGAUAACCGUAGUAAUUCUAGGGCUAAUACAUGAGUAAAUCCUCGACUUUGAAGAGGUGUGUUUAUUAGUAUGAAAACCAUAUGCUUCGGCAUGAUAGUGAGUAAUAAUAACCUUUCAUAUCGUAUGUUGAAAUAACGAUAGUUCUUUCAAGUUUCUGCCCUAUCAGCUUUCGAUGGUAGUGCAUUGGACUACCAUGGCAGUAACGGGUAACGAAGAAUUUGGGUUCGAUUUCGGAGAGGGAGCCUGAGAGAUGGCUACCACAUCCAAGGAAGGCAGCAGGCGCGUAAAUUACCCAAUCCUGACAUAGGGAGGUAGUGACAAUAAAUCACAAUGCGGGACUUUUAGUUUUGCAAUUGGAUUGAGAACAAUGUAAAAGAGUUAUCGAUAAACAAUUGGAGGGCAAGUCUGGUGCCAGCAGCCGCGGUAAUUCCAGCUCCAAUAGCGUAUAUUAACGUUGUUGCAGUUAAAAAGCUCC